This 1826-nucleotide long non-coding RNA is filed under the name Junco hyemalis (dark-eyed junco). Its description in RNAcentral is "lncRNA (ENSJHYG00000002795.1)". The record is from RNAcentral. Lineage: Eukaryota; Metazoa; Chordata; Aves; Passeriformes; Passerellidae.
UCCCACAAGAGAAGUUGGAGUCACCGUCCAGAUCUAACUGCAUCUAGAAUGUAUUUCCUUUCUUUCUUUUACAUUUUAUAAAUAGUCCAGCCUUCCUACAGCUUUUUUCCUGGCCUGGUGACUCAUCAUCGACUCAUCAUACUUGUUGCUUCACUUAAAUAGGGCAUUGAAAAGUCCCUUGCUUAAAUGGGGGCGGGGGGGGGGGGAAAUCCCCAGCUGCAGAUUACCAACUGACCACUUCAUCCUGAAAGACCUGAAGUAAUUCCUGCUGUCCCACGGCUGGGAGGUUCGUGCUGAGAUGAAUCAGUGCGAGGCAGAGCAAUGCUAUCUGGGCCAGCCAGUCUCUCAACGACUGGCAUUUUUGACUUGUGUACUGCAUUGAGAAUUUUGCAUGGAUGCCACAGUUUUCCCUUUAUUUCAAAAAAUUGCAUGACUCUCUUGCCAGCAUGGUUUCCUAGCAAAAGCACAUGGAGGUUUCACACCACCCUCCUGAGCAGCACCAGCUUUGCUGGCAACCUGGGAAGCUCCCGGGACACCUCAGCUGCAGCCAGGUGAGGAGGUGAGGACCCAAAGACACUAACAUCUCCCAGGCUUCAGGAGAAGAAAAGCCCCCAGUUUUGGACAGCUGCAAGCUGGGCUGGGGGUUUGGAGGUGCCAGUGCUGGAAGGGAAGGUGAGCCCAUGAGUGAGGACCAGUGAGGGAUGCAGCCAGCAGCAUCAAUGAGAGGUUCAAGAUGCUCCAGUGCCCCCAGCAAGGCUGCCAUGCCACAGAGCUGCUUCUGGUUUCCCAUGCCCCAUGCCCUGCUCUGGGCUGCAGAAGCUGGUGAAGAACCAGGAGCAGAGUGGUGCCACAAGGUGGGAUGACAGGGUGACUGUCACCUGCGGAUGGAAGGAAUGUGGUACCAGUGGGAAACCCAAUUCCCUGUGGUGGGAGUUCUGGUAAGGUGCCCCACGGCCCAAGGGUGGGGUAGCCCCUCCUCCCAGGACUGCAUUCAGCCACUUGCCUGUAGGAGCAGGGACUCUCGUCUCCAGGAAGGCAGGAAUCCUGACACCUCAGAGCACCUGCAUGGCACUGUGAGGGCAGGUCACGGUGGAGAGAAGAAAAGGAAGUAAAACCGCUUAUGCUCAACCAAGAGCAUUAGAGGCAGCUACUCCCUAAACCUGCAUAGCAACCAGAUGCCAGCAGCAGCACAACACGCUCAGCUGCAAACAGGGGAAUCCCUUUGGUUUUCCUAGCCCUCACUUCUGCUUUUGCAGCCCCUACUGCCUCAGUCAGGAUUACCUGAGGAAUACUGAUUACAGCUGAUAAGAGUUCUGUCUUCAUUGAGCUGAUUGCACAGCUUCUUUGAAGAUGGCUGCUCUGUCCUCUUGUUAUGCUGUGCCUCCCAAAUGCCUUUUUAUUUAGCAGCUGUUCCUCUGCUGUGCAGCGACUGGUGAUGUUACAUCACGGCUGAUGGGUGCUCAGGGGACUUGCUUUGUUUGCUGGAUGGCAAUUUCAUUCACGUUUUGAUAACCCUGCAUUUUAGGCCAUUAAGGUACUCUCUGUACCCUGUUUUUCUUUCAUUCCAGGCAGGUUGCAUGCGAUACUCUCUCUUUUGAUUUAGGGGAGGUGGGGGUUGCUCUUUCCAAGUGACUGCCAGGCAAUUAAGCACUAAAGGCUCUGUUUCGCGAGCAGAAGGGUUUUAACUGCCUGAGGUUGUUGCUCACAAUAAGAACCCCGUGCCAGUUUCCUGGCUAUCCCGGAGAAGAUCCCAAUUUUCACCAUUAAACAAAGACAAUUGUAUGGAAUUCAGCCCGGAUGGCAAUAAAGAGAAGUUUGUGAAGGCU